RNAcentral lists this non-coding RNA (22 nucleotides) under Arabidopsis thaliana (thale cress). Lineage: Eukaryota; Viridiplantae; Streptophyta; Magnoliopsida; Brassicales; Brassicaceae. The record is from RNAcentral.
UGGUGGUGAUGUUGUUCCCCUA